Molecule: non-coding RNA, 1798 nt
Organism: Macaca mulatta (Rhesus monkey)
Lineage: Eukaryota; Metazoa; Chordata; Mammalia; Primates; Cercopithecidae
Source: RefSeq, a predicted model, not a curated record
AGACCAGGGAGGCCCCAGUGCCCAGUGACCCAGCCUAAAGGAGGCUGUUCCGUGAAGGAAGGGGGACAGGGACUGCCAGUGUCUUCUGAGCUGACCACUCCCCGCUCAGCCCAGCUGCAGGACUGAAAGAUGAGAGCCUGUUCCAGAGCCCUUCAGCAACUCUGGGCAUUCCCUGGCUGGGUUGCAUUCCCACUUGUCCCUCAACAUAGCUCAGGGUAUCUUGCCCGCAGGCGGCGUGGGCUCAGACUGCGAUGUCACAUCAGCCCCAUUCAUCCUGCUCUAUGUGCCUUCAUCCUUCACUCCUCAUGAUGACCAUGCAAUCUCAGAACUGUACCCAUUUUACAGAGGAGGAAGCUGAGGCUCACACAGCAAGCAACUUGCCCAGAGUCACCUGUCCACUAAGUAAACAAGUCAUAAUUGGACCCAGGCAGUUGAAUUCAGAGCCUCCUUCUGAACCAUGUUGGCCUUGGGCCUUGUGUGACAAGCAGCAGGAAGGUGAGGGUACCUGACAGAGGACGGUGCUAGAGGACUGUGUUCUGUUCUAGGCUCCGGACGUGGCCAGAGUGUGUUCAGAGGAGCCCGACUCCACGUCGUCUGUACAUCUUCAAGUUCCAAACCUAAGCCUCUGCCUCUAUCCAGCUCUGCCUCCCAUCACAAGCCUCCUGCGUUUCUCUGAAUCUCCUGGUCCCACCACUUCAUCCUCUGAAGCCCUCUGCUGUCUUCUCCAUCCUUUCCUACUUCCACGUCCUGCACUCCUGUGUGGUCGAAUCCAGAGAUCAGUCCUUUCCCCACCAGAGGCUGGUUGCAGUCAAGUUCAUCUGGAGGGCUCGGGGCACCCCUCUGGCCAAGCCUUCAGUCACAGAACCUUCAGCUACUCUCCCUCACUCAGGCUCAAAUUCCAAAAGCUCCCACAGGGCUUCAUCUGCUUGGACUCCAAGCUUGUGGUCAAAGGGCAGACUCGGCUCAGGGAUCUCCUGGGGGAACUUCCCAACACUGGCUGUCCCUCAGGCACAAACAACUCAGAAGCCACAUCUGCAGAGGAAUCAUUUUGUCCAAUGGCCUUACUAUACAGAUGGGGAAACUAUGGCCCAGAGAGGGGAAGGGGCCAGCCCAAUACCACACAGCCAGGCACUGAGAGCAGAGCUGGGGCCGGAGCCUAAGUGCCCCUGUCUUCUCUCGCCAGCAUCCCUUCCCACUGCUCCAUGUGCAGUCAGCACCCAGCCUUCCCAGGAUCUCUGCCUGCCUGCCAGACCCUGAGCUUACAUUGCCUUUUCCCCAGCUUUGUUUCUCAAAACCAUUAUUUGAAAACCGUUUUCCUUGCUGGGACCCCCAGGCUCUCGGAAUUGCAAAAUCAAAGCCCCAUAGAAUGAGGAAGAAGCACUGCCUAUGUAGAAGCCGGGGAGACUGCCCCAGACUCGGGCGCCGUGGUGAAGCUCGGGCUGAUAGGAUGUUAACUCUGUUCGCUCCCUCUGCCCCUUCUUCCCCCAGUUGACUACAACAACAAGGAAUCCUAGAAGCCAACAGGACCACAGAAUUAGAGCCGAUGAGCUGGAUGGAUGCUUAGAGAUCAUUGACUCCAGCCCCUGUGCAGAUGGGGAAAUUGAGACCCAGAGAAUCUGUGUCCAAAAGGACAGAGUCUUACAAGAGAGCAAGACCCCCAGAUGCAGCAUCCCGCUGGGGAAAUGUCCCAGAGGCCCCCAUCCACCAAUCCCAGGUCUCCUGCUGGUGCUUACCUUUCCUGGGAUCUGGUCCAGGUGUGGCUCCUUGGGGCCUGGAGAUGGGAACCAGCCUGUUUGGU